UACGUAGGGUGCGAGCGUUGUCCGGAAUUAUUGGGCGUAAAGAGCUCGUAGGCGGUCUGUCGCGUCGGUCGUGAAAACUUGGGGCUUAACCCUGAGCUUGCGGUCGAUACGGGCAUGACUGGAGUUCGGCAGGGGAGACUGGAAUUCCUGGUGUAGCGGUGAAAUGCGCAGAUAUCAGGAGGAACACCGGUGGCGAAGGCGGGUCUCUGGGCAGUAACUGACGCUGAGGAGCGAAAGCGUGGGUAGCAAACAGG
RNAcentral lists this ribosomal RNA (254 nucleotides) under uncultured bacterium. Its description in RNAcentral is "partial 16S ribosomal RNA". It matches the Rfam family "Bacterial small subunit ribosomal RNA", at positions 524 to 776 of the family's 1533-position model. The record is from RNAcentral.